UUUUUUUUUUUUUUUUUAGCUUUGCUACUUUUAUGCCAGGGAUAGCUGCUCAAAAUAAGUCUUUAUAAAAUAUAAUAGAUGCUAACCCUUCUUCAAACCCCUCACUUUUGAUCAACAGCCUUUUUAUAACUCCUAUUAGAUUCCAUUUGGUAACUUCUGAGUCUAUUUGAUUUAGCAAGAAAGCAUCAAUUUGCAUCAUCCUAGCUACACUAGAACAACAGCUUUUAUAAUGUAUGUAAAUGGAACUUAAAGAAGUUGUUGAUCAGAAAGCUAAAGAAUGCCACUCAAGAAGAAAGAAACCUAAAUACCUAAACAUGACAUUGUGCGUUUGAACCUUAAGUGCCAUUUCAGAUCUCCUAAUACUCCAAAGGUGAUGUUGUGAAAACAAAUAUCUUAGCAGAGGAUUACCUACUCCUGAGUAAACUGCCUACCUUUCCAGUGAUCUGGAUGAGCAUUUAUAGAAGCCUUCAGUGUGUGGCAUCUUUGCAGUGUUUCAGACCAAUACAUCUUUCCGGAAAACCAAACUGGAUCAGAUCCAGUCCUCAAAGUGACAGCCUUGAAAGAAUACAGAAUUUAAGUACCCUUAGAGAAUUCGGAGGGUCUGCAGCCCACCUCCUCCAUUUUAUAGACUUAACCUAGAGUUAUGCUGCUCUAAGUGUGGCCCACAGACAACAGCUUCCAGGAACUGUUAAAAAUGCUGAGUCGCAGGCCCCACUCCAUCCCUACUGAACAGGAAUCUGCACUUUCAUAACAUCCUGGAUGAUCUAUAAUAAAUCAAGCAUAAUAAAGUUUAAGAAACACUGGCCUAACAGACUAUAUGUUUAUAUAGGAUGAUUGAUCAAUUUGAUUUUGGUAGCAAACAACUUUGAUUACUCUUUUAUUACAAAAUUACAGGUCAUGUCUGGAAUAAUUUAGAAAACACAGUAAAGAAAAAAAUGAUAUUAAAAUUCAUAGACUUGUAUUUCUACUGCUCAGAUAUAUUCACUGUUAUUACUUGGGUAUAUAUCCCUGUUUCUGUAAACUACUUUUAUGAAAUAAAUGAUUCCCCCCCCACAAAAAAAAAAAAAAAAAAAAAAAAAAAAAAGAAACUGGUUGGACUAGUUCUAGGUCCAACAGUUCACGUCAGAGACUAGCCAUGACUCAGUCUUUAUGUCUCAGUUCACAUUUCUCGGUAUGGUCCACCCACCCCAGUGGUAUCUUCUUGGCCUUUAUUUUCUACUAGAGUGGGUAUGUGCAAGCUCCAUGAUUAUAGGGAGACUCUACUAUGUGAGGCCACAUCCUUCAGAGAAACUAAAGCCAUGUGCCACAGCACACCUUGGUGAGGUACAUCAUUAACCAGCUUGAAAAGGAUGCAUAGGACACCUCUGAUGCUUAUCCACACAGCUCCUGAACAUAAGAUUUUAAAUAGUCAAGAAGUCUGGGACAUAUAACUCUUUUAAUAAAUUGAGCUCUGCUUAUAAGGACUUAAUUAAUGGAAAUGAAAGAAUUAAUGACUGGAUACGCGCAAAGAACAGGCAAUGCCUUGAGGGAGAAGUCCAGUAGAGGGGCAAUGCAGAUUAAAGAAGUCUAGGGUUUCCACCAGGAGAGGUGGUAGGUUAAAAAUAGGCUCUGGUACACACAAAAGUGGAGUGAAUAUAGGUAAAAAUUCAUUAAAAAGAAAUAGACAUUCAAAAACAAGUUCAACGAAUGAAUUAACACUAAAAUCAAAUUUCAGAGUAGGAUUGAACUGGACUAAGAGCUGUUCCUGUUCUCUGAGAUGUUCAGAAUACAUCACAUACAUACCAAAACAGACAAAAAUCAUAGACUUAGUGGCAGUGCCAGGGUUCAGGAAGGUAGAGCCUCUUUUGGAGACAGUAACAACAGAUUCUACUCUACUUUGGUUUAGGGUCACACUUUGGUGCCCUAGGUUGCAGCCUUGACUUGGCACCAAGGACGGUUUUCAAAAGGCUUCCAGCACUGUUCAAGAUGUGACGGACUUUUCUCUGCCUCUUUCAUCCUUAUUAAUUUGCUUCUGCAUCACAAAAGAGGCAAAUCUUUUUAUGUUUCUAUAAAGUUCCAUCAGGGAAAGGGCAUGGUUCAAACCUUCUCUUCAAUUUUAAUAUCUUCAUAUCUACCACAUACUGUAUACAGACAUGAAGGACAUUAUUCAAAACAAUUUUACCUUUCUCAAAUAAAAUAGCCUAUACCCUGAAAGUAUUAUGGAAGUGAACGUUUUUAAGCAUUUAAAUAAGCAAUCGACUCUGACAUGACCAUUCUCCUCACGAAUUUAAUGUUCUACUAUUUUUAAAUACAAUUGUUUCAUUCUACAUUCAGCUGAGUAAGUAUUAGACAAUUUUUUUUUCUCAUCUCAAUAAUGCAUGGAAUGUUAUAUAGUUCCACCCAUUCGAAGCAGUCUUAAAUCCAGUAAGGAAGGAAACUGCAUAUCCUCAUCACAUAAUAUGCAUACUGUUUGUGACCAUUUAUCUUGUGGCCAAGAAUUUGAAAUUUUUUCUAGUUGUGUUUUACAGAGGCAUCAUUUUUCUUAUUCUUCUUAAAGUAGGCCAGAUUCUAAUUUUUUGAAAUUAAAAAUGAAAUUUCUCAUCUUUCCUUUUCAGUAGCCCUUAAACAAUAACUGCUGAACCUUUUUUUCACUCAAUUCCCCCAGGAGCUUAACAAUAUAUUGAACAUUUCUUAUAGAAAUGUUCUCUCUCCUUUAUGUUUUAAACAACACAAAAUUCACAAACCUUGUAAGGCAACUUAAGUUUUUACCCAAUUGUUUAUUUCAAAUGUAGCUUUUCUUUCAUAAUAGCUAAACACUUGAAAGUUGUUCACAAUUACUUCCUUUAUAAUUUCAAACCCCAAAUGAUUGCUUUAAUCUCCCAAAUGUAUUUCAAAAUUGGUUAUGUGUUGAUGUGUUGAAUGAGUCAGAGUACUGUAGCACAAUUGACUAGACCUUUGCAUAAACACAUGAUUUUUGUAAUUAGAAAUUUAAUUCCACUUUCCCCUUGUCGUUAUCCACCAAUUGCAAUACAUUUUUAUCAUUCCAUAAACUUUGUCCCAGGGGAUGUGGCCACCAUCUCAAAGUCUAUCUCAAUUUUUUUUAUUGCUAAAAUGCCAUUGUUUUUCUUUUUCUUUCAUGUUAAAUUCUAAUUAUUGCUGUUUACUUUUUGAAAAAUAUGUACCCAAGGACACUUGUCCUAAGCCUGGCAAGUCUGUGUUCCAGCUACAUAAUUUAGUUUUUUGGAAAUCUAUUAGUGAUGGCCCUUGUACUCUCUUUUUCAGUGCUCUAGCUCGCCUUAGACCAUUGCUCUUUAAAAAUUCAGCUCCUCCAAUUAGGCCUCCCCCUUGGUGGAAGGAAGUUGUAUUAUACACUUCAGACAAUCUGUGACUUUUCUGUCAAAGCACUAAGUACCUGACUUACGCCUUCUUCCAUCCUUGUUGAUCAUUUUUUCACAUCACAAAAGAAACAGCAUCUUUUUAUGUGCCUGGUUUGAAUAAAUUUCCAUCAGCAAAAGGACAUAGUUUAAACGUUCUCUUAAGUUUACUUUCAUGAUCUUCAUAGUUUGUGUUUUGGGGAAAACUGCUCAGGGAUUCCCAAACAAUCUUCUUGUGGAACUCAAAGGGAUGUCAGUGUGAGCCUUGCUCAAAAUAUACUGUGAGAAAGUAUUAUUGCAGCAAUUAGUUUCCUUUUGUUG
RNAcentral lists this long non-coding RNA (3674 nucleotides) under Sus scrofa (pig). Its description in RNAcentral is "lncRNA (ENSSSCG00000060381.1)". Lineage: Eukaryota; Metazoa; Chordata; Mammalia; Artiodactyla; Suidae. The record is from RNAcentral.